CCCGACUUCGGGAGGGGUGUAUUUAUUAGAUAAAAAACCAAUGCCCUUCGGGGCUCUUUGGUGAUUCAUGAUAACUUAACGGAUCGCAUGGCCUUGCGCCGGCGACGGUUCAUUCAAAUUUCUGCCCUAUCAACUUUCGAUGGUAAGGUAUUGGCUUACCAUGGUUUCAACGGGUAACGGGGAAUUAGGGUUCGAUUCCGGAGAGGGAGCCUGAGAAACGGCUACCACAUCCAAGGAAGGCAGCAGGCGCGCAAAUUACCCAAUCCCGACUCGGGGAGGUAGUGACAAUAAAUACUGAUACAGGGCUCUUUUGGGUCUUGUAAUCGGAAUGAGUACAAUUUAAACCCCUUAACGAGGAACAAUUGGAGGGCAAGUCUGGUGCCAGCAGCCGCGGUAAUUCCAGCUCCAAUAGCGUAUAUUAAAGUUGUUGCAGUUAAAAAGCUCGUAGUUGAACCUUGGGCCUGGCUGGCCGGUCCGCCUCACCGCGUGUACUGGUCCGGCCGGGCCUUUCCUUCUGGAGAGCCGCAUGCCCUUCACUGGGUGUGUUGGGGAACCAGGACUUUUACUUUGAAAAAAUUAGAGUGUUCAAAGCAGGCCUUUGCUCGAAUACGUUAGCAUGGAAUAAUAGAAUAGGACGUGCGGUCCUAUUUUGUUGGUUUCUAGGACCGCCGUAAUGAUUAAUAGGGAUAGUCGGGGGCAUCAGUAUUCAAUUGUCAGAGGUGAAAUUCUUGGAUUUAUUGAAGACUAACUACUGCGAAAGCAUUUGCCAAGGAUGUUUUCAUUAAUCAGUGAACGAAAGUUAGGGGAUCGAAGACGAUCAGAUACCGUCGUAGUCUUAACCGUAAACUAUGCCGACUAGGGAUCGGGCGAUGUUUCUAUCUUGACUCGCUCGGCAC
RNAcentral lists this ribosomal RNA (896 nucleotides) under Hermatomyces clematidis. Its description in RNAcentral is "SSU rRNA". It matches the Rfam family "Eukaryotic small subunit ribosomal RNA", at positions 182 to 1086 of the family's 1831-position model. The record is from RNAcentral. Lineage: Eukaryota; Fungi; Ascomycota; Dothideomycetes; Pleosporales; Hermatomycetaceae.